GAUGAACGCUAGCUACAGGCUUAACACAUGCAAGUCGAGGGGAAACGACAUCGAAAGCUUGCUUUUGAUGGGCGUCGACCGGCGCACGGGUGAGUAACGCGUAUCCAACCUGCCCAUCACUUGGGGAUAACCUUGCGAAAGUAAGACUAAUACCCAAUGAUAUCUCUAGAAGACAUCUGAAAGAGAUUAAAGAUUUAUCGGUGAUGGAUGGGGAUGCGUCUGAUUAGCUUGUUGGCGGGGUAACGGCCCACCAAGGCAACGAUCAGUAGGGGUUCUGAGAGGAAGGUCCCCCACAUUGGAACUGAGACACGGUCCAAACUCCUACGGGAGGCAGCAGUGAGGAAUAUUGGUCAAUGGGCGAGAGCCUGUACCAGCCAAGUAGCGUGCAGGAAGACGGCCCUAUGGGUUGUAAACUGCUUUUAUAAGGGAAUAAAGUGAGAGUCGUGACUCUUUUUGUAUGUACCUUAUGAAUAAGGACCGGCUAAUUCCGUG
Molecule: ribosomal RNA, 492 nt
Filed under: uncultured bacterium
Lineage: Bacteria
Description: partial 16S ribosomal RNA
Rfam family: Bacterial small subunit ribosomal RNA
Source: RNAcentral